This 468-nucleotide ribosomal RNA is filed under the name uncultured bacterium. Its description in RNAcentral is "partial 16S ribosomal RNA". It matches the Rfam family "Bacterial small subunit ribosomal RNA", at positions 28 to 507 of the family's 1533-position model. The record is from RNAcentral.
GACGAACGCUGGCGGCGUGCUUAACACAUGCAAGUCGAACGGACAGGCCCUGCUUUUGUGGGGUUCUCGUGUGGCGAACGGGUGUGUAACACGCGAGUAACCUGCCCCUGUCUUUCGGAUAACUUCAGGAAACUGGGGCUCUUACCGGGUAGGAGCUCCUGCUGCACGGGGGUGGUUGGAAAGAUUCGGCGGUUCGGGAUGGACUCGCGGCUUAUCAGCUGGUUUGUGGGGUAGGUGCUUUCCAAGGCUUUGAGGGGUAGCCGGCCUGAGAGGGUGACCGGCCACAUUGGGACUGAGAGACGGCCCAGACUCCUACGGGAGGCAGCAGUGGGGAAUAUUGCACAAUGGGCGGAAGCCUGAUGCAGCAACGCCGCGUGCGGGAUGACGGCCUUCGGGUUGUAAACCGCUUUCGCCUGUGACGAAGCGUGAGUGACGGUAAUGGGUAAAGAAGCACCGGCUAACUACGUG